UUUUUCUUUUGUUAUUUACUUAUUUUUGUUGAACGGAUUAGAUUGAAGUGAAUUAAAAUUAUUGAACGGUUUAGAUUGAAUCGGAUCAUAUCAAGUUUAGGAGAUUGUUAAGACCAAAUUACCCUUAAUGAUUUUGAAUAGCAAAGAACAAAAUCCAAAAUUGAAAUCAAAAUUGAGGCCAAAUUAGACAAAAUUUCAAUUUGUACUUCCCUUUUAAUAAUAAGAGGAUAUUGUCGUUAAAAGAUUUUGGUAAUUAAUGACGUCAUUAAAGGAUUUUGUUUUUGAUUAAAUUUUUCUAAUGGCAUUGUCAUGUAAUUAACUACAAA
RNAcentral lists this small RNA (326 nucleotides) under Arabidopsis thaliana (thale cress). RNAcentral's name for it is "ATSL045910". The record is from RNAcentral. Lineage: Eukaryota; Viridiplantae; Streptophyta; Magnoliopsida; Brassicales; Brassicaceae.